RNAcentral lists this unclassified non-coding RNA (411 nucleotides) under fungal sp. RNAcentral's name for it is "partial internal transcribed spacer region". The stretch from base 1 to 46 matches the Rfam family "Eukaryotic small subunit ribosomal RNA", at positions 1786 to 1831 of the family's 1831-position model. RNAcentral also lists the same sequence under 1 other name. The record is from RNAcentral. Lineage: Eukaryota; Fungi.
AAGUCGUAACAAGGUUUCCGUAGGUGAACCUGCGGAAGGAUCAUUAAUGCUAAACAAAUACUUCGGCUCCUAUCUUCAGAGACGACCUUCAGCGCUCGUUCCCGAGUCUGAGCACUCUGUCGCAUACUGAGCCGUUGUUAUUUCGUAUCUAUCUUUAAACGCUCGAACUUUUGUUUGAUUACAAAAAUUCGUCGUGACAAGUAACCUGAGACUUUUUUUCUUAUUUCUUGCCCACAAGCGUUUUGUUGAAGAAUGUGCGUGGGGUGAAGAGAAAAAAGGGAAACUGUUCUCAAAAAUUAUUAUUUUAUACCAUAAUUACCCUAAUUUCUAUAAACUAUUAGACUGAUAUAAAAUAAACAUUUAUUUUAUAAAUGUGAAAAACAACUCUUAGCAAUGGAUAUCUAGGCUCUC